ACAUCAAAGCCAAAGCUGUCCAUAGUUGACACCCUUUCCUGCGCAGAAGUCAAAGCUGACCAGCCACAACCGACUUUCUGUCCCAUGGCAUCGAUGAAGUGGAGGAGGACAAACCACAUGAACUUCUGUGUUAAAACAAUAUUACGUGAGCAGAGCACUUUCUGACAAACCAGAGGUGGAUACGGCUGUGGAUCCCCUCACAAUGAGCAAAGAUAAGAAGUCUUGUAAGAGGGGUAUGAGUCACCUGCGGCUGUGUGGCCUCCAGACAGGAAAGAGAGAAAGAGGAGCAGAAUCCCACCAUUUCCCAUCCUUAAAAAAAAAAAAAAAAUCCUAUUAAUUCUAUUUUUGCUGUUGAUUGUUGAUCAUGAAUCAAGAAUUUAUUCUAUUAAUAGUUGUUUUGUUUAAAUAAAUUAUUGCAU
Salmo salar (Atlantic salmon) is the source of this 419-nucleotide non-coding RNA. Lineage: Eukaryota; Metazoa; Chordata; Actinopteri; Salmoniformes; Salmonidae. The record is from RefSeq and is a predicted model, not a curated record.